CAAAGUUGUUACGGUCUUUAUUCUUGUCUGACGUUAUUGGAAAAGAAAUAUUAAUAGCAGUGUGUUAGGACAACAUCAGAGCAUCAUCAGAAAACAAACUAAACAGUGAAACAUAGACCAGGACACAACAGCAGGUUUGUCAACUCAUCGUUGACUGGGACUUUUUCAUUAAGAUUACCAUUUAACUGUGACACAGCUGAAGGAAACUCUUUGUCGCAUUGACUUUACAUUAGAAGUAAACAGAUUGAUAAAGUCACAUUGACGUAAGAUUAGAAGCAAUCAGAAUGAGACAAUAAAAUCCUAAGAGAGAAAAAAAAAUGAAUAAAAUAUUAAAUAAAUACUAGAUGUUUAUAAACAUUUUUUUUUUAUUUCAUGAUCAUACUAGUCAAAAUGUUGUAUAGGCCAAGUGACAGUGUAUUAUAUUUUGUGUUGAGUCCAGGCAUGGAAUCAAGUUUACAGUAGGGCAGAAAUGAGUUAUGAAAUCAAUAUUCCCAAAGUGUACAGCCAAGUGUACAUCAGUCUUCAUAUAUACAAGUUAUAUAUAUAUAUAUACACAAUAGUAUGACCACUUCCUUUGUGCCAAUAGCUGUACAGUAUAUCACAUUCAGAGAAAACCAGUCUAACUAAACCAGCUGGGUUUUAUAUGCUAGAGGAAAGAGAAUAGCAGUAAGAAAUAACAGCAAGAUGGACAAUACUUUUGACAGUCAAGAACUCAAAUUGUUAUUUAAAUAUGGUAUUAUGGCUGUGUUCAAAAGUAAUGAAAGAUUACAGGAUCUAUCGGAUGAUAGCCCCACUGUGACCUAUAUACCAUAUAUAACAGUUGUUAUAACAGAAAGAUGUCCAACACUGUAAAAAAAAAAAAAAAAAGUUUAAUAACCAGGUUGAUGUAGGACUUAGCUUGAGAUCUGUGUGAAUCAAGGAUGAAAGAGCACUUUAAAAACCCAGCACUUUGCCUUGUUAAAUAUACACAGAAAAAUCUAAUCCUGUAAUUGUGUACAAAAUGUACACUUAGUAUUUUAAACUAGACAUAUAAGACAUGGAAUACAAGCUACCACUGCAGUUUAAACAAAUAAAUUAAAAUUGUUACACGAACCACAAGUGAGUUUGGUCAAACUUGAGAACUAUCUUGCUCUGACUUAAGACAGUUAUAGUUUCACACACCAACUUGUAAGGGUUGAAAGAUUGUCUCCACAGAUUUACUCUAGUGAUCGCAGCAAUCAUUCUAGAAUUGAACUGUCUGAUGUCAAUUCCAGAUGUAAUGUUGAAGUGACACUGGGCUAUGAAAUGUAGAUUUUGUGUUGCUUUAGUACAAAUUGUUGGCUCUAAUCAUGCACAAUUGGAAAACAAAUUUCCUCAUGGAUAAUAAAGAUAAGUAUUAUUAAAGAGAGAUAUACCUGUGCCAACAUAUAUGUUAAAACUUAUUUUGAUCAGAAUUUCUUUUUAAGUAGAGCAAGACAAAACAAAACAAAAAAAAAACACGUUGCAUAACUAAAACAGUGACCUGAGCAAAGACAAGGUCAGGCCAACUCAGCAACUGGAUAUAGAAUUCACGCUACACAGGUAUCUUUCAAAAAUAAGACGCCAUCAGUUAAUAUGUAAAAAAAAAACAAAACAGUCAAACAUGAUAGCUUGCAAUUAAUUACUCGGAUGUGAGUACAUUUAUUAAUUUAAUCCAUAAUAGAUUUUCAACUGUUUUUUUUUUUGUUUUGUUUUUAAAAUAUACACAUUUUUACUUUUAGAAUGUUUUUUGUUUAAAUAUUAAGUGAUCUAUUUCUGUUUGAAUUAGAUCAAUGAUAAAUCAUAAACUAAAGAGCUAGAGAAUUUCAACCCAACAAAAGCCUAAAUUUAGCUAGUACAAGUCCUCAAGAAAACUUCUAUCUAAAUAAAAAUAUAAAAAAUCCAUGAAUAUCUAUGCCCAACUGAUACAAAAAAAAAAAAAUAUACAAAAACAAACAAUGUGGGCGACUCUAGAAACAUAAUGUGCUAACCAUGCUAACCAGUCAGCUUCUUUGUUAGCACACAUAACCUAAACAAGUCUACAAGCCCUGCAAUCUUCUCAAGAACUCCUCACAACUUUGUUUAGAAAUGACUGAAGGAGAACAGAUCUGAAAACUCAAUUGCUAGACUCAAUAAAUACUGGUGUGCCGCAGUAGGAAUGUGUCAAGUGUUAUGAAGAUUAGUGAAUCCAUUUCUGAGCUUUGUUUUAACGUAACUGUAAAAUUUAAAAAAUAAAAAUCUCAUCAGAUUAAUGUGACAAAAAAAUAAAAUGUCUAUGUGAUGAAGCACAGUAAAGGUAAGAAUAUAAAUAACUGGGGUCUACAAGUGGAUCAAGUCACCUGACACUUUCUUUAAGCACAAAGGAAACAAAAUGCAUUGUCUUAAAAAAAAAACAGCUACUAAGGUCAAGGUUAUACCAUAAUCUUAGCACUAAUCACAGUCUCGCCCAAAGCUGAUUAGUUUACUCAAGACAAUAAUAAAUUAUAAUAACUUAAAAAGAGCUCCAGACAAUUUCUAAAGCUUAUGUAACAAUUUGUCCUGAAACUCAAUGUUACAACACAACACAAGUUCUCUCAAAUAAAUGACCUAAUUUUUAUCCUUUGAAAUAGUCACCAAGACAUGUUUUUAUUUGUGAUCAGACUUUCUGGUAUGCAUUUGAUCAAUGGCAUAGCUUCAGGACAAAUCACACCAAAGUAACUCAUUUAUCCAGGCCUCUGACUUAAAAAAAAUAAGCUAUACAUUCCCCCCCCCCCCCCC
Non-coding RNA from Biomphalaria pfeifferi, 2754 nucleotides. The record is from the annotation of a GenBank genome assembly. NCBI's taxonomy places the organism in Eukaryota, Metazoa, Mollusca, Gastropoda, Planorbidae.